Molecule: ribosomal RNA, 261 nt
Filed under: uncultured prokaryote
Description: partial 16S ribosomal RNA
Rfam family: Bacterial small subunit ribosomal RNA
Source: RNAcentral
UACGUAGGUGGCAAGCGUUAUCCGGAAUUAUUGGGCGUAAAGAGCGCGCAGGUGGUUGAUUAAGUCUGAUGUGAAAGCCCACGGCUUAACCGUGGAGGGUCAUUGGAAACUGGUCGACUUGAGUGCAGAAGAGGGAAGUGGAAUUCCAUGUGUAGCGGCGAAAUGCGUAGAGAUAUGGAGGAACACCAGUGGCGAAGGCGGCUUCCUGGUCUGCAACUGACACUGAGGCGCGAAAGCGUGGGGAGCAAACAGGAUUAGAUA